UGGGGGAUAUUGCACAAUGGGCGAAAGCCUGAUGCAGCGACGCCGCGUGGGGGAUGAAGGCCUUCGGGUUGUAAACUUCUUUUGCUCUGAACAAGGCACGCUAAUGGGUGUGUUGAGUGUAGGGGUUGAUUAGCGCCGGUUAACUACGUGCCAGCAGAUGCGGUAAUACGUAGGGCGCGAGCGUUUUCCGGAAUUAUUGGGCGUAAAGGGCUUGUAGGUGGCUGGCUGCGUCUGUCGUGAAAGUCCAUGGCUUAACUGUGGAUUUGCAGUGGUGACGGGCUGGCUUGAGUACGGUAGUGGAGGCUGGAAUUCCUGGUGUAGCGGUGAAAUGCGCAGAUAUCAGGAGGAAUACCGAUGGCGAAGGCAGCUCUCUGGGCUGUUACUGACACUGAGGAGCGAAAGCGUGGGGAGCGAACAGG
This 419-nucleotide ribosomal RNA is filed under the name bacterium. RNAcentral's name for it is "partial 16S ribosomal RNA". It matches the Rfam family "Bacterial small subunit ribosomal RNA", at positions 355 to 776 of the family's 1533-position model. The record is from RNAcentral.